GAAAAUAAUGAUACUCAAAAUGUUGUUAGGGUUGGGAAAAUCAGAGGAGGACCUCAUCAUAAUUGAUAUCUCAAUGUCUACUUUUAUUGUAGAGGUAUCCAGGAUCCUUAAUGUCUUAACAAUAGAGGUAUUAGUAAGAACAAACUAUGUGAAAAUAGUUUGGGCAGAUGCCAAGCCUUUUGUUGCUUACUUAGAUGUAAAGGAGGCUUAUUACAAUGAUGUAGACAUGAGCCAUAUUUAGUUCUUAAAAAGAAGCACACCAAAAGACUCGGGAGGCAUUAACUCACAACUCCCCAAGAGAGGCCCCUACCAUUUUAUGUAAGGUCUGCCUUAUUUUCUAAUCAUGGGUCUUUUCAGGAAGAGAAACAAAAUGAUGUUGCAUAUGAAUCCAUUGAAGAAGAUUUUGCCAAGGCCUUAUUCAUUGUGCCUUAUAAAAGGCCGAUGGGGUAGCACCAUGCAUUUUCCUAAGGCCGAUUCACAGCCUCCCUAGGGGAGACCCAUGGCUUCAAAUAGUUGACCCCACAGCUUUUCUUAGGCUCACCUACAAUCAUUAUAAAGACAAAUCCAACAUAAUGACCAACAUAUUAUAACAUUCAUACAUAAUCAGGUAAACAGAAGGCUAAUGUAAAGAAAGUAGGCCAUUAAGCCACGGUUAAAUAUAAAUAAAAAGCUG
Molecule: unclassified non-coding RNA, 673 nt
Filed under: Hevea brasiliensis (rubber tree)
Lineage: Eukaryota; Viridiplantae; Streptophyta; Magnoliopsida; Malpighiales; Euphorbiaceae
Source: RNAcentral